UGUUCCCUCCGGUGUGGCGCGCCGCCGGCCUCGGUGGCCGGGCCGGCGGCGCGCGUACCGCGUCAGAGGUUGGUCAUGUCGACCGGGAUCAG
This 92-nucleotide transfer RNA is filed under the name Streptomyces parvulus. RNAcentral describes it as "tRNA-Pro(cgg)". Lineage: Bacteria; Bacillati; Actinomycetota; Actinomycetes; Kitasatosporales; Streptomycetaceae. The record is from RNAcentral.